Molecule: long non-coding RNA, 216 nt
Filed under: Vigna radiata
Lineage: Eukaryota; Viridiplantae; Streptophyta; Magnoliopsida; Fabales; Fabaceae
Description: long non-coding RNA (VRAD_LNC004758)
Source: RNAcentral
GGGAAAGGUAUACAUUUGAAGAACUGAAGGUUGAAAUUGAGUGUUAUGAGGAAUAUUACUCAAAAGAAAGCAAAAGAAGAAAAAGUGAAAUUAAGCGCAGACCGCUGAGCAGUCCAUUUUACCGCUGAGCGGUUGCGGCAUUGAGGGUCUCGGCUUUUCUUAAAAGCUGAGCGGUUUUUCAAGUUUCUCACUUUGAAACUCUUCUUUGCAUUUCGC